GAAAGAAUCCAUGUACAGCAUAAAGAAUUUGGAUGAUAAAUAAGAGUUCUUAUUUAUUGUUUCAUUGUUAUAAGGAAUCGAUGCGCGUACACGUGGUGGGUCAUUAUGCUGCUGCACCUGUGUAGCGUGAAGGUCAGUGUGCUUUUCUGAUUAUAAGAAACCAUCCAUGUCAUUCCAUUAUAAACCCACCCC
Molecule: long non-coding RNA, 192 nt
Filed under: Dasypus novemcinctus (nine-banded armadillo)
Lineage: Eukaryota; Metazoa; Chordata; Mammalia; Cingulata; Dasypodidae
Description: lncRNA (ENSDNOG00000050366.1)
Source: RNAcentral